Molecule: non-coding RNA, 615 nt
Organism: Dermacentor andersoni
Lineage: Eukaryota; Metazoa; Arthropoda; Arachnida; Ixodida; Ixodidae
Source: RefSeq, a predicted model, not a curated record
UUUGUGUGCUUCGCUGUGACAUCUUUGGAAUAUUCCUGCGUGUUGCUCGCUUUUUAUGGACUUGUUGCCUCGAAGAUCGCCAUGAUCGCCUCCGACUCAGCGACAUCAAGGAUUCAAAAUGAGCUGGGAGAGGCCCCAGCUGGAACGGUUCACAUAGGUUGAAGGAGUGCACAUUGAGAAGGUUAUCCUGGCACAGUUUACCAUGGCCUGCCAUGGUGGACCAGGAAAGUUUGCAAGGGCCUUGCUUCACCAUGUGUUCACAGAGGAGGAGCUCAUGGGCCAUUUGGGCUUUGGAAAUAACACCAAGGGGCAAAAAAGGCUCUUGACCCCACCAGGGUCAGUGCUGUUAUAGGCAAGUACCAUAUAUCCUUUCUGGUUGCAUUUUUACAUUCACAUUUUUUUCUAAAAUUAUGAACUUGCCAUUGGCAUAACAAACGACUUUCAAGUAGCCCGUGUGUGCAGUUGUAUGCGACAAUAGCCUACUAUUUGGAAUGACUGUUCGUACGAUCUUAAGUGCGUAAUGCCGCCAUACUCAAAUGCUUCUAAAAUUUAAAAGCUGCCUUCACUGCUGAAAGUUUUUAGUGGCUCCACCACAUAAAAUGAGCUGCAUUUGCG